Long non-coding RNA from Helianthus annuus (common sunflower), 866 nucleotides. RefSeq lists it as uncharacterized. Lineage: Eukaryota; Viridiplantae; Streptophyta; Magnoliopsida; Asterales; Asteraceae. The record is from RefSeq and is a predicted model, not a curated record. The transcript has 2 exons.
ACAAUACCCACAAACACUACACUGAUUUCUUUCUCGUCUUCAUCUCUCUUGCUUAUCUCUCUCUCAACCACACCAGUACCACCACCGCCACCACCGUCACCUUCGCACCACCACCAUCUAUUCCCCUGCUAUGUGCUACUAUUUAAUUCAUACAUAGAUUCAUUCCCAAAAUGGCAACUUUAUAACCAGCCCAACUCGAUUUGGAAGCUAAAGACCACUCCCGCCGUCAUUCCACCGCGGCCAACAUUGAGAUUGUAGGGGCGGUGGUAUCUGAUGAGGAGGAGAAAGGGAGGGAAUCCACGGUGUCAGAUUUCUCGAUUGUGGAUCUAGAAAGUGGUGGUGGUGCGGCCCAUAAUGAUAAGGUACAUUGGUCAAAGAUUGAAGGGGAUUGUAGGAUUUGUCAUUUGAGUAUUGAUUUAACCAAUCAAGAUUCUAAGAAUGGGAGUCCUAUUGAGUUGGGUUGUUCUUGUAAAGAUGAUUUAGCUGUUGCUCAUAAAUAUUGUGCUGAAGCUUGGUUCAAGAUUAAGGGUAAUAAGCGGUGAUUGGUGGUUGACGGUCAACGGAAGAUGGUGAUAGUUAUGGAGGUGCGGUGGGAAUGGUGGUGGUGCGGUGGUGUUAAUGGUGUUGGUAGGGGUAGAGAGAAAGAGAGGAGGGAUGGACAGGUGUGUGAAAUGUCUAUGUGAGUAUAACAAUAUAUAUAUAUAUAUAUAUAUAUAAUAUUUUAUAUAUAAUAUUAAAAUAUUUAUGCAUUAAAGACUUGUUCCUUAUACUUUUGUGCAUAUAAGACUUGUACUUUGUGUGUAAAUGACCAAAUUACCCUUGCAGUUAACAAACUUGGUGGAUGGAGUUAGAAAUUUGGACUCAAA